AUUCGUGGUCUAGGGUGCCUUUAAUGGCUGAGAAAUACCCAUGGAACCUGCUGCAGUUAGUACUGUCGAAGGAAGAUCGAGUAAUUAGCAU
This 91-nucleotide non-coding RNA is filed under the name Levilactobacillus brevis. RNAcentral describes it as "Lactobacillus brevis TPP sequence". It matches the Rfam family "TPP riboswitch aptamer (THI element)". From Rfam's summary of the family: Vitamin B(1) in its active form thiamin pyrophosphate (TPP) is an essential coenzyme that is synthesised by coupling of pyrimidine and thiazole moieties in bacteria. The previously detected thiamin-regulatory element, thi box was extended, resulting in a new, highly conserved RNA secondary structure, the THI element, which is widely distributed in eubacteria and also occurs in some archaea. Lineage: Bacteria; Bacillati; Bacillota; Bacilli; Lactobacillales; Lactobacillaceae. The record is from RNAcentral.